This 27601-nucleotide long non-coding RNA is filed under the name Capsicum annuum. RNAcentral's name for it is "long non-coding RNA (CANN_LNC014474)". The record is from RNAcentral. Lineage: Eukaryota; Viridiplantae; Streptophyta; Magnoliopsida; Solanales; Solanaceae.
UUUGAAAGCCUUUGUCUCAUUUCCUCUUUUGUUUGUCUUGGUAUGUGCCCUUACUCCCUUUUGGUAAUGAGUCUUUUUGAAAGUCCUAUUGUCCCCUUUCUUCUUUUGUAUGUUCUUUGGGAUAUGUUUCAAGACUAAUAAAAUACUACAUUCUUUUCUCCACUCUUUAAGAUCAAACCACACCUAUUGAAUGUUCUUGUUCAACAAUAAAUGAUGAGCAUGAAGAACAACAAGAACACUCAAAAGAUUGAAACUAAACCAAUUGAACUCCAAAUUGAAUGAUUCUAGAUUCCUUUUGAUCACAUUAAACUCCACAACACAACCACACAUUUUUCAAGCCACAAUAUCAACAACCCUUCCAAUUUUGAGCUUCACCUCACCAGUUUCUUCAACCUUAAACUCAACAGUAGUGAACAACUCAAAAUCACCCGGAUUUAAAUCUAAUCAAAGAUCUAGACUCACUUAGUGUUAGGAAACAAGAACCUAAUACUAGAAACAAACAAAACAACUAUAAUCUCCUAAAUCUAAGUCUCAAAUUUCAGCUCAAACACAAAAACGGGAUAGAUUUCCUUUUCUGAGAUUUUCGGUUUUUCAAUACUUUUUUUUAAUUUUUCAACUAACAAGCCCAAGAUUGAUUUUGUUAGAACAAAAUCAAUCCUUGCUUUGACACUAAAUGAUACGAUAAAGACAAUGGAAGCACGAAACACACUCCAAAUCUAUCCGCAAUCAAACGAUCCGAGGAUCAAGAUGGAGACCACUCUCGGAUUCGCUAUCAACAAUAAGAAUACAAAAUACAAUGGUGUAUAUAACACCAAAAAUAGCUACAAAACGAGAGGAACAAGAUGAAUAAUAAUAACACAAGUUUUAGAUUCAAAAAAGGGCCCAAAAUAGUCCACUACAUAAGAUGACAACAACAAAAGUAAAUGAUAGAUAGUGAGACCAAGAUUAUUACAAGUUUAAGAAAUAAAGAGUGAAUUAAACUAAAAAAACCCUAAUGAAUAUAAUAAUCAAAACCACACUCUUACGGUGACCGCCAAGGGAAUCAACUCACCUCAAGAUCCACCGUUUCCAAGCAAAGAUCAAUACUAGCUUUUCCAAGCCCUAACUAAGACUAAGUGUUCUACUCUCAAGAGAGAGGAUUUUUAAUGUUUCAAUCUUUCAUAUUUCAUAAACUAACGAAAAUAAGACUAAAGGGCCUAUUUAUAAUAUAUUACAAAUGAAGAAAAAAAGACCAUUUUGCCCUUAAUGAGAGGAGCUGCCAUGGUAUGUAAAUACACCAUGUGUAAUGUCUAAAAUAUCCUUAAUGAAGAGGCAGCCAAGGUGCAUUAUAAAUUAAAUGAAUGGAGCCUCUUCAAUGCUCUCAAAAAUCGAGUAUGGUUCAUACUUCAAGGCUUGUGGUUCUCGGGUUAGCAUCAAUGUAAGCAACCAAGCAACCUUCCACACACGGGAUUACUUUGAGUCAUGCUCAAAACCGGUCCUCCAUGCAUGUUCUCAUAUCCUCGAGGUGACCAAGUCUUGAGCCUCUAUGUGUCGGCCUAUAAAGAUGUCAUCAAAAGAUAAGAUGACCAUUUGUCCCAUAUCAGAUUGGGUGCACGCCUUUUCCAUAGAGUAAAAUAAUUUAGUUAUCUUAUGUUGAAUCCUUUUGAAAAUUUUCAUUAGAUUUUUUCACAAAUGCCAAGUACAAGUUAUGUGAGAAACUCCUUCAUAGGCUGUUGCAGAUGCCUUUAUAAUGUUGUCAUGUCUGUCCGAAACUAUAGUCAUCAUUUGUCUCAAACCAUAUGCCACCUUAGAUUGCUCGAAAUAUCACUAUCAUGAUGCAUUAUUUUCUGAAUCCACAACUUCAUAAGCUAGUAACAUCAUACUCCUUAAACAGUACAAAGAGAAGUUACUGCUAAUACACAUAAAAUAUAUGUGAAUUAAAUAUUAUUCAUAUUCUAAACUUGAAGAUCUAGUGUGCUAGCUAUUAGCAUUGUUCUUUGUAUGCAAUCUCAAGAAAUCUUUCAUCAACGAUCACAAUUGGCCUACAAUACUCUCAUCUUUUUGUUGAUGAAUCUAGUGCCACUAACGAAUAGACAAAAUAUUGAUCCUCUGACUUGUGCAUUUUACAUGUGAACCUGGAUAAAUUUUUUCAAGCAUGUAAAAGUAACUACAUAAUCUAGUUAUGAAUCAGCAGGAUCGCCUCUCACUAAUUCUAAUGCCUUUUAUUUAACUCUCCAAGACUACAUGUACGUCAGAGUUAUACCAUAAUCAUCCAACAUGUCUUUUUGUAUCUCCUCAAGUUGUACUGUGUUUCUGUGUCAACAACUUUGUCCAGUAUAGGAGAUGCAACUAUUGAUGUUGUUUUUUUUUUUUAGAAGUUGAAUUAGGCCCUAGCAGACAUUCGCGCUCCCUGAUAUAAAUUCUAACCUUGAAUAUUUGAUUGUGUUCAAACUUGAUGCUCGCAAAUAUAAAUCACAAUUUUCACUCAAGCAUUCGAUUUCAUAGCUAUAGAAAAUAUAGUAGAAUAAGUUAAAUAGCUUAUAUGUAUUACUCCCUCCACUUAAAAAAGAAUGACUUACUUUCUUUUUAGUUCGUUUAAAAAAGAAUGACCCAUUUUCUUUUUUGACAAUACUUUAAUUUCAACUUUUCAUAUGGAAUGUUUAGGACCACAAGAUUAAAGGGCAUUUUGGUACAUUUGACACAACUUUAAUAUAAGGCCACAAGAUUCAAAAGUCUUCUUUAUUUUCUUAAACUUUGUGUCAAGUCAAAGUAGGUAAUUGUUUUUGAAAUGGAGGGAGUAUAACAUAAGAAUUAUUAGAAUAUAUUUACGUGCUGGCAUUCGAAUGUAUUUUCCUGAAUUGAAAUUUGUGAAUAAUGGAGUGAAGUUUCAAUGCAUUCACCAGAAUACUCUCUUCUUGAUAGAGUUGUCCUUCUAUCAAUUCCUGUUUUCGGUUAGUUAUGAUCGUUGAUUAUUGAGUGUUUGAAUACUCCUUAAUUUCUGCACUUAUUCCCAUUUCAGAUUCUUCGAUUCCAUCAUUCAUUACGACGAUUGAACUAGAACUCUAUGAAUUCAUAAUUUCAGAGGAAGUUGUGAAAUCAGAUUCGCACAAUAAAGAAAUCAAGCUUGAAUCAUUCUCUUGAAUCAUUAAUACCUUUGUAGUAAUACACAAAGAAUACAUUGUCAUAUCUCAUUUAUCCUUCUUCAUGUCAGCAUAUACUCGUAUCUCCAUAUAAUUCUGUAUUUUCAUUGAGGCUGGUCUAUUAUUAAUUUUGUAUUUGAUGCUAAUUUUUUUUAAAGACGUAUCAGUUGAUAAAUGUGUUGCAAUUGUUUAUACAUGAUUGUCAUAGGUUGAUUUAGUACUUAGGACCGAAGUAUCUGCAUUGUAAAGAUUGUAAUUUCCACUACUAUCCCAUCUUCCAUUGAAGUAAAGCAUAACAACAUAUGUUUUCAUUUUUAUUGUGACUUAUCCCUAUCACAAAAAGCAGACAUAGAAAGCUUAAUGAAAUAGUAUGAAAUAUAUAUCUACAUAAAUAUGAUACUCACAAACAACAUACAACUAGAAUUCAAUACUUUUGAUUCACCAAAUUAAAUGAAAACAUAUCACACACGGAUCUUGUUUGCUUUAUGUAUAUCCUUGUCCAAAGUAUAGCUCAUACAUUAUAGAAAUUUAGUUACCAAUCAGGACCGACUCGGACCGGACCAAAAUUCGAAUUACGUUUUUCUUAAUUUAAAUUAAAUUUGUUAUAUUUAAAUUAUAGAAUUAUAAGAAUUGUUUCUUUAACUUAAAUAAACAUUUUAUCUUUUUAAAAUUUUUUGUUAUAUAAAAAUAUUUUUUUUAUUUCAAACCUUAUAAAAAUUUAUAAGUUUUUGAAAUUUUUUGUUUCGAAAACUUGUAAAAAAGUAUUAAACUUGACUUAUAGAAAUUUUAUAACAUUAACUUAUAAUAAUUUUUAAAAAUUUCCUAACUUAUAAAAUUUAUAAGUUUUUGACUUAAAUUUUUUUUUUUUCAAAAAUUUGUAAAACAGGUAUUAAACUUGACUUAUACAAUUUAUAACAUUAACUUAUAAGAAUGUAUAAAACUUUUCCUAAUUUUAUAAAGUAAAACUAUUAAAGUUUAUUUUUUUAAAAAAAAUUAAAGUUACAAAUAUAAACUUUAUAAUUUUGGCUAAGCUUUUUUUAGUUUCCCGUCCGGUGUUCGGUGACCGCAUUGGAGACCCGACUAAUUCCGAUCCCACGUUGCAGGGCCCAUUAAGGUGGCAGCGCUCCCAAUAGAGUUUUCUCCAUACUCAAGGUCGAACCCUCAACUUCUGGUUAAGGGCGGAGCAGCCUCAUCCACUGCACCACAACUCAUGUUGGUUUUAGCUAAGUUAUUUAUAACAUUAGUUGUAUUAAAUAAAAGAUAAAUUUUAAAAUAAAAUUAAUGCGAAUAGCCUAUAUAUUUAUUUAAAUUUCAUCUGUUGUACACAUAUUACAAAUAUUAAAAGAGAAUCUAAUCGAUCCAGCCAUCUUCUAGGAAGGGUUCUAUUUGAAUUAGAUCUCACUCUAGUAUCUUAUUAGUAUCUACAACGUCCAAAAUAUUUUAGUUGUAACUUAAUUAUUCUUCGGCGGACAUAUUUUUUGGAAUUGGUCUUUUUUCUUAUUCUUCUAUUACAUCCAUUCCAUCCUCACCGUUUUCCUCAAAUAUUUCAUCUUCGAUUUAGGGCGGUAAUUUUGGAAGCCCAAAAUUUCUUUCUUCUGCAUUGAUCCAAUCUCUAAAUAAUACCAAAAUCUCCAAAAUGCUUUCUAAGAAUAUUGAUGAUCUCCAAUUAUAAAUUUUUCCGAGCUAAAAACUUGUUUCGAAGCAAUUGAAGAUGCUUGACUUGCUAGCACAUCUCGAACCACCCUUGAAAGCUUUGAAAAAUGUUUGAUAUGGGUCUUCCAUCGUGCUAAAAACUGAAGUUAUCCAUUUGCAUCUCUAAUAUUAUCCCGGUCCUAAGAAAGAUACGAAUCAAAAUCAUUAUUGCUAGAACACUGAAGACCAAGUCCUUCACCCAUCUCGUUAUCUAACUCAUCAUAUCUAGGCCUAGAAGUAGGAGGUUCGAUCACUGGAAUAUUUAGUUCCAUAACUUGAUACUAGUUAUAUAAACUCCCAACUUUAGGUACUAUGCUACCACAACAAGUUUCACCUGAUGAUUUUUCAUGAGGUUCGACUUCUAAAUUUUUGUAAAUUUUUUGCACCAUCAUCAUUGCACCAAUUUCUUUUAAAAAUGGGUUGAAUAAAGUACUUGUCAAAUAAAUUUGCGGAAUAGAAAAAAAUAUUUUUUAAAUUUAUUAAUAAUAGCUACAAUUGAGUUUUUGAGCAAAGAAAUUCUUUUAUAAUACGCAAGUACUUCAGAAACAACAGUAAUAUUUACUUAACAAAAGAAAUAGUUGGAGUACAUUGAGCAUAUACUAUAUUUGUAACUUGAUAAAAAGCUUUUAAAAAAUUACAAAGUUCUUCUAUUUCAGUCCAAUCAUCAUCACAUAAACUUAAAUCAAGAUUCAAAUUAUGAGCAUUAUAAACUAAUUGUAUGUGUCACGAUAUACAUAAGCAACUUCAAGCAUUUAAUAUAAAGAAUUCCAUCUAGUAGAAACUUCUCUUGGAACUUUCCACAACAACGUUUAAAAUCAUCCAUCAUAGCUUUUUUUUUUUUAAUAAAAAAUAAAACAACUAGCAAUUCGAACUUUAAAAUAACCAUUUUCAAACAACUAAACACUAUUUUUUACUAUCAAAUUUAAAAUAUGUACAAUACAUUUAUGUAACGCCCCAAGAUCCCAUCCCGAGAUGUCACAUGGUGCUUAAGGCCACACGCGGCCUCAAGCUAACCCUCUAAGCCUGUCGUCACUUCUAGAGCUCACUUUGACAAUAGUCAUGCUAAAAUAAGAGAGAAUGACAUAUCAUGAACAUACUGGAAUAACAUAAGGAACUAGCCUGUAUCAAAAUACUGAAAUUUUGUACAUACCAACCCUUUAGUCUGACAAAGCCUCUAUACAUCAAAAUCAAGGAAACAUUGGAACAAACUCCCUAACUAACUCAAACAAUACUGAAAGCCAUAACAACAAAAUAGUAUCACAAAAAUAUAGACACGGUCCUUGAACCAUGAGGACUCACCACUGAGAAGACGAAAAAAGGCACCCGAAUAUUGCUAACGUGACUACGGCUGAGUACCUAAACCUACAUUAUGAGAAAAUAUAGCCCAUAGGAAAAUAUGUGAGUCAACACUUUGGAAUGUACUGAGUAUGUGGGAGUGCAUGUAAAAAUGUAAAUAUCAUCAUCAAUUUCAUGAAAAUAUGCAUAUGUACAAUGGUGGCUCACUUGGCUUGAGUUAGAUUGAAACAUACUUUUCAUGAUCUCAUCGUAAAUAAAUAUAUGAUAAAAACCUCAUAAAUCAUCAUAAACAACUCAACUCUUCAACUCAAGACUCGGAGUGACUCUGUAAUUCAAGAAACUUGACUCUUAUGGACAUGAGAGGUUCUUAUAACCGAUAUAAACCAUAUGAGCUAUAUGGAGUCCAAUGUUUUGCCCUCCUAAGGAGAGAACCCCACAUUGGCGGGAGCGUCGUACUCUUGCCAGCGAGUACAACCUAAAUUUAGUGAUCACAAUCUUUUACUCAACCUCUAGCCCACAAUUAUCAAUAUCAAUCUUACGGUGGCACGUAGUUUCGGGAGAAAUACCAUAUUUCUCACUCGGUGCUAAAUACUACUCCCAGUAACAAGCUCAGAAUGCAUUAGGAAAUCCACCACAAACAUCACAAGGGUCUAUCAUAAGACCAAAUCAAAUCUCUUUCUCAUUUAUCAAAUCAUAAUCAAUUUUUAGAUUCCUAACUCGACUCAAUUCAAAUCAAUCUUUCUCAAUAUCAAUAUGUAUCAAUUCAUUACGUCAUGACAACAUCAAAAACUUUGAGAAAAUAUCAAGACUCAUUGUAACAACUCAAUUCUCAUUAAUCAAUAUACUCAAUAAUCCAAUUUGUCAUAAGGAAGCUUAAAGCUUGACACAUAUCUUGAAAGAACUUGAAAUACCAACUCAUGGUAGAAACAUGAAAUUCACAAUAUUAAAUAUCAAGUUAUAACUUGAAAAAUGUAAAAUAAUCAUGUAUAACAAAGCUUGAACAAUUUAUAUUCUCAUAAUCUCAUGAUGAAGUAAUUUGGGUAUAAAUCCACUUGCAAAAUCAUAUAAAUCCAUAAUAAAAAUCAAAGCUUUGGGCACAAGAACGAAAGAAUUGCUCUUGUUCAAAACCCCACAUACCUUGGAUUAUGAUUUUAAGAUGAACAAGCUUGAUUGGAAACUCUUCUUCACACUUUUGAGCUAAGUUUCUUGAUGCCUUUGACUUGGAGAAUUUGAUUCUUGAAAAACUUGGUGAAAUGUUUGGAAGAUUCAAGAAUUUCUUGGAGAAGAUUUGAUUUAGGAUUUUGGAAGAAAACUCUAGUUUCUAAUUUUUUUUUUCUUGGAAGAGAAUGAGAGAGAAUGAGGGGUUUCUCCUCUACUAGGAUAAAUAUAAAGGUUAAAAAGGGGUGGAAAAGACCAAAAUACCCUUGCAAAAAUUUCUCUUAGUUGCUGGAAAAAAUUAGCUGACGACAUCCGUGACAAGCCGUCAAGCCGGUGAUACGUCGUCACGAAAUAUCGUCACAAAAGGGUAAAAUUAUGAUUUUCUGCCUAAGGUUGACAACAUUGGUGAUAAGACAUCACAAGGGUCAGAAAUCUACCCAGGGCUGACGACAUUGGUGAUAGGUCAUCACGCUCGUGACAGCUUAUCACGAAUGUCAUCACUCAGUUUUCCAGCCUGACAUGCUAGAGUAAAAUGGGCAUAACUCUUUGCUCCGAUACCGAAUUUGGGUAAAAUUGGUAUCGUUGAAAAGAUAAUUCAAUUAUCUAUCUUUUGGUAGGUCAUGAUAUCAAUAAUUUAUAGUAUAACAAGAGAUAUGCUCAUUUGAAGUUGACUAUGCCAAAACCCUUCUUAAGAAUUCAAUCGGUAAGGAAUGUUUUGAUUCGCCCAAUCGUUAGGACAUCUUUAAGGCCUUAAUACACAUCACCCUUGACAACAAAAUAACUAAAACACUAUAAUUUAUUUCUCAUGAGCUUAAGUCAUGGUUGCACUAUUGGUUAGAAUCUCGGGAUAUUACAAUAUCUCCCUCUUGGAAACAUUCGUCCUCGAAUGUUGCCAGAUAGGCCAAGAACAAGAGAAAAAUGAGGACGUAUAAGUAUAGCUUGAACGACUCACUCAAAAGACUUACUUCACUUUAUACCUUCGAAUACUAUACAAAAUGUAUGAAUUCGUGAUGAAAGUAGACACACAGCUGAAUCUUUAAUAAGGCAAGGGCGGAAUUAAGAAAGAAUGGUACCUUCUGCUCUCUCCGAACUUACAGAAAAGAGGUGAGGAUACUUAGCUCGCAUAUCAUCUUCGGCUUCCCAAGUAGCACUCUCAACAGAUUGAUUUUGCCAAAGAACUUUAACCAAAGGAACUUCUUUGUUCCUUAGCCUACAGAUCUGAAAGUCCAAAAUCUCAACCGAAAUCUCCUCGAAUGAAAGGCUAUACUGAAUAUCUAAGCUUUUAGGAGAAUCAACCAAGACAGAAUCACCAAUACACUUCUUAAGCAUAGAAAUAUGAAAUACCGGAUGAACGCUAGACAACUCCACGGAUAACUCCACCUUAUAAGUUACUUUCCCAACACGGCUCGAAACCCUGUAUGGACCAACAUAACGAGGACUAAGCUUUCCAUUCUUCCCAAAUCUCUUCACCCCUUUAAUGGGUGAAACCUUCAAGUACACUAAAUCAUUAACAUUAAACUUAAGAUCUUUUCUUCUCACAUCCACAUACGACUUCUGACGACUUUGAGCAGUUUUCAAUCUUUCUCGAAUCAACUUAACUUUUUCCAUAGCCUCAAACACAGCAUCAGGCCCAAUCACAGCUGCUUCUCCUACUUCAAACCAACCUAUGAGCGAUCUACAUCUUCUUUCAUACAAAGCUUCGAACGGGGCCAUCUGAAUACUAGCAUGGAAACUAUUAUUAUACACAAAUUCGAUCAAUGGUAGGUGCUCAUCCCAACUACCUUUGAAAUCAAGUGCACAUGCGUUCAACAUGUCCUCCAAAGUCUGAAUAGUCCUCUCAGCCUAACCAUCGGUCUGCGGAUGGAAAGCAAAACUUAGAUGAACUUGGGUACCGAGACCUUUCUGAAAAGCCCUCCAAAAUUGGGAAGUAAAUUGAGUACCCCUAUCAGAGAUGAUAGCCAAAGGAACUUCAUAAAAUCUGACUAACUUACAGAUAUAUAAUCUAACAUAAUCCUCAGUUGUAUAAGACGAAUGCACUAGCAAGAAAUAAGCUGAUUUAGUCAAUCGGUCUACAACAACCCAAAUUGAAUCAUGAUGACGACGAGAAGGAGGCAAACCAAUUAUGAAAUCCAUAAUCACUUUUUCCCACUUCCAAGUAGGAAUGCUAAACUCUUGCAUUACACCACUGGGACUUUGGUGCUCUAGCUAAACUUGUUGACAAGUAGAACACUUUACUACAAAUCCUGCUAUGUUUUUCUUCAUACCGUUCCACCAAUAGAUUUCCCAUAAAUCGUAGUACAUCUUGGUAGCACCAGAAUGAAUAGAAUAUCGCGGACUAUGCACUUCAUCCAUAAUUCUCUUUCUUAGAUCAUCAACAUCGAGAACACAUAAUCUACCCUGCAAUCUCAACACACCAUCUCCCUCUUGGGAGAAAACCUCUACCUUCUAGUCCUUAAUUGACUCCUUCAGCCUGACCAAACUAGGAUCCCUGUCCUGCUUCUCCUUUACCUCCAAGACCAAAAAGGACUCGGAACUACUUUGAACUAACAUACUUCUUUCAACAGAAUCAAGCAAUCUAACAUCUAACCUAGACAAACGAUGCACAUCAAGAGCCAAUUCUUUCUUAUCAUUCUCUAGAUGAGCUACACAACCCAUAAACAACUUGCUAAGAGUAUCUGCUACAAUAUUGGCCUUGCCCGGGUGAUACAUCACACUUAUAUCAUAGUCUUUUAGCAACUCUAACCACUUCUUUGUCUAAGGUUCAACUCCCUCUGAGUAAACACAUACUGCAGGUUUUUAUGAUUUGGUAAACACAUCAAUAUGAACACCAUACAAAUAAUAUCUCCAGAUUUUCAAAGAAAAAACGACAACUACUAAUUCAAGAUCAUGGUUUAGGUAAUUCUUCUCAUGAGUCUUCAACUGUCUAGAGGAAUAAGCUAUAACUUUACCCCUCUACAUUAACACACAACCCAAACCAACUCUAGAAGUAUCAAAGUACACCACAAGACUAUCAGUACUAUCGGGUAAAGCUAACAUUGGGGCUGAAGUAAGUCGAGUCUUCAACUCCUAAAAACUCUCCUCACAAGCAUCUGUCCACUGAAACUUAACUUUCUUUUGGGUCAACCGGGCCAUGGGAGACGUGAUAGAAGAGAAGCCCUAAAAAAAUGAUGGUAGUAACCAUCUAGACCCAAGAAACUCCUAAUGUCAGAUGGGGAGGUAGGCCAAGGCAAAUUUUUACUGCUUUUCUCUUUUGGGGAUCGACUCUAAUGCCUUCAGCGGAAACAAUGUGACCCAGAAAAGCAACUGACCUUAACCAAAAUUCACACUUGCUAAAUUUAGUGAAUAAUUGAUGAUCUCUAAGAGUUUGCAAGAUAAUUCUAAGGUGGUCGGCAUGAUCAUCCUCUCUUCGAGAAUACACUAGAAUAUCGUCUAUGAAUACAAUGACAAACAUAUUGAGAUAUUGCUUGAAUACUCGGUUCAUAAGAUCCAUGAAGGUCGCUGGAGCAUUAGUUAACCCAAAGGACAUGGCAAGAAACUCAAAAUGAUCAUAGCGGGUUUAGAAGGCUAUCUUUGGAAUAUCACACUCUCUCACUUUAAGCUGAUGAUACCCGAAUCUAAGGUCUAUCCUUGAGAAAUAACUUGCACCCUAUAGCUGAUCAAAUAAAUCAUCGAUUCUAGGAAGAAGGUACUUGUUUUUGAUAGUUACCUUGUUGAGUUGACGGUAGUCAAUACACAUACGUAAUGUACCAUCUUUCUUUCGCACAAAUAGAAUAGGUACACCCUACGGGGAAACACUGGGUCUGAUAAAGCCUUUUUCUAAGAGAUCUUUGAGUUGCUCCUUCAAAUCUUUAAGUUCUGUCGGAUCCAUACAAAAUGGAGGGAUGGAAAUAUAUUGAGUGCUGGGAAGAAGAUCAAUCCCGAAUUCUAUUUCUCUAUAAGGUGGGACCCCUGAGAGGUCUUCCAGAAAAACAUCAGGAAACUCAUUAACAAUGCUAACUGACUGAAUAGUCAGAGUCUCGGACUUGAGGUCUUUAACUUGAAUUAGAUGAUAGAUACAACCCUUGGAAAUCAACUUCCUAGCUUUGAGGUAGGAUAUGAAAUAGCUCUUUGGAGUUACAGAACUCCCGGACCACUAAAAAAUGGGCUCGUUAAGAAACUGAAACUUGACCACUCGGGUACAAUAAUCUAUAGACGCAUAGCACGAGUAAAGCCAAUCUAUACCCAGAAUGACAUCAAAAUUAACCAUAUUUAGCUCAAUCAAAUCAACACAUAUGACCCGAUGAAGGACAGUAACAAGACACUUCUUAUUCACUCGCUUAGCAAUAACAGAUUCUCCUACCGGGGUAGAAACCAGAAUAGGUUCAGGAAUCCAUUCAGGGUCCAUCUCAAAAUUUACAGCAACCAGAGGUGUCACACAAGAAAAACUCAAAUCGGAGUCCAUCAAUACAUACACAUCAAAAUGAAAGACAUGGAGAAUACCAGUGAUAACAUCUGGAGAAUCCUCCUGCUCCUGGAGAGGUGGUAUAGCAUAGAAGCGAUUCUGGCGCGAACCACCAGCAGUACUAGAAGAGGCGCCCUAAGGAGAAACUGGGCGAACUAUGGGAGCAGAGGCAUUGGUAGCGUGACUCUAGGGACGAGCAUCUUGACUCCCCUGUCUAAAAUACGUAUAAUCUCUAAGUCGGUGGCCCAACUUGCCACAACCAAAGCAACCCCUCUGAUCAAUAAAACACUCUUCAAAAUAAUCUCUACCAUACUUGGCACAUGAAGAAGGUCGAGGUUUGUUACUUACACUUUCCUGAGACCUGGAUGGGAUAGGCCUGUUCCCCUGCUCUUGCUUAUUUCUAGGUGCUAGAGCAUUAACUGAGGGAGGCGCAGGCAUAAAUAGAUAUUUUUGGAAUUAAGGGUAGUCCCCUCCAUAGAAUCUGAACUGAUCAAAUCCCUGCUGCUCUGAUCUAGCUCUUUUGUUCCCUCUUACUCUCUCCUUCUCUUUCACCUUAUCAACUUUAAUCUAUUGGGCAUGUAUCAUUAACCGAGAAAGGUCCAUCUUCCUAUUAAGCAUAGCAGAUCUACCCUCUUUCAUAACGUAACUCGACACACCAGUCACGAACUUAAUCAUGAUGGUCCUGGAGUCAGCCAUCAUACUAAGAGCAUAUUUAGACAACUAAUUGAAUCUAAGGCAAUACUCCUUAACAGUCAUGGAGCCUUGUCUCAAAUUCAUGAAUUCCUCUAUCUUUGCUUCCCUCAUCUCAAGAGGAAAGAAUCUGUCCAAGAACGCAUCCUGGAAUAAUUGCCAAGUUAUGGGAGUGGCAUCCUCUCCUCUACUUUCCCUCCAUAUUUCUACCCAAUCAUAUGCAAUAUCUUUUAUUUGAUAGGCAGCCAAUCAACACUCCCCUCCUCAGUCACGUGCAUAAUUUGGGUGAUCUUUCUCACUUCAUCUAAGUAUAUCUGUGGGUCUUCACCUACCUUCGACCUAUAGAACUCAGACAGAUUCAUCCGCAUAAAGUCUCGAACCCAAAAUGCAACAGAAUUAUUCUCUUGUGAAGGCAGAAUAGUAGCUUGGGUGUUAGCUUGAGUAUCGGUGGUAACUGCUUGGGCUAGCACCUCAAAAUCUACCCAAAAUUCUGUAUGUGACACAUGCUCGUUCAGGGGAUCAACGAGUUGAAUUUACUUGUUGUUUCUACGAGCUCGACUAGGAGGCAUUUUCUGUUAUAAGAGAGUAUGGGUUAAUUGCAGAUAAAGACAGUUGUAGGCAUGAUAAACUUUAGAAAUAAAGAAAUGACUUUUCCUAAAACGUCCCGUAGCCUCUUGCUCAUAAAUGUGGCGCACUACACAUCGAUGAUCAAGACUCUACGUAACAUGGCUUGUCAAACUCCCUAGGACUCUUUAAACCUUAGGCUCUGAUACCAAGCUUGUAACGCCCCAAGAUUUCAUCCCGAGACGUCACAUGCUGCUUAAGGCCACACGUGGCCUCAAGCUAACCCUCUAAGCCUGUCGUCACUUCUAGAGCUCACUUUGACAAUAGUCAUGCUAAAAUAAGAGAGAAUGAUAUAUCAUGAACAUACUAGAAUAAGAUAAGGACUAGCCUGUACAAUCAAAAUACUGAAAUUUUGUACAUACCAACCCUUUAGUCUAACAAAGCCCCUAUACAUCAAAAUAAAUGAGACAUUGGGAAAACCUCCUAACUAACUCAAACAGUACUGAAAGUCAUAACAAUAAAACGGUAUCACAAAAAUAUAGACACGGUCCUCGAACCAUGAGGACUUACCACUGAAAAGACGAAAUGAGGCACCCGAAUAUUGCUAACGCGGCUGCGACUGAGUACCUGAACCUAUAUUACGAGCAAAUGUAGCCCAUAGGAAAAUAUGUGGGUCAGCACUUUGGAAUGUACUGAGUAUGUGGGGGUGCAUGUAAAAAUGUAAAUAUCAUCAUUAAUUUCAUGAAAAUAUGUAUAUGUACAAUGAUGGCUCGCUUGGCUUGAGUUAGAUUGAAACAUACUUUUCAUGAUCUCAUCGUAAAUAAAUCAUAUGAUAAAAGCCUCAUAAAUCAUCAUAAACACAACUCAACUCUUCAACUCAAGACUUGGAGUGACUCUGUAAUUCAAUAAACUCAAAUCUUAUGGACAUGACAGGUUCUUAUAACCGACAUAAAUCAUGUGAGCUACAUGGAGUCCAAUGUUUUGCCCUCCUAAGGAGAGAACCCCACAUUGGCGGGAGCGUCGUACUCUUGCCAGCGAGUACAACCUAAAUUUAGUGAUCACAAUCUCAUACUCGGACUCUAGCUCACAAUUAUCAAUAUCAAUCCUAUGGUGGCACAUAGUUUUGGGGGAAAUACCAUAUUUCCAACUCAGUGCUAAAUACUACUCCGAGACACAAGCUCAGAACGCGUUAGUAAAUCCACCACAAACCACAAGGGUCUAUCAUAAGACCAAAUCAAAUCUCUUUCUCAUUUAUCAAAUCAUAAUCAAUUUGUGGAUUCCUAACUCAACUCAAUUUAAAUAAAUCUUUCUCAAUAUCAAUAUGUAUCAAUUCAUUAAGUCAUGACAACAUAAAAAACUUUGAGGAAAUACCAAGACUCAUUGUAACAACUCAAUUCUCAUGAAUCAAUAUACUCAAUAAUCCAAUUUGUCAUGAGGAAGCUUAAAACUUGACACAUAUCUUGAAAGCACUUGAAAUACCAACUCAUGGUAGAAACAUGAAAUUCACAAUAUUAAAUAUCAAGUCAUAACUUGGAAAUUGUAAAAUAAUCAUGUAUAACAAAGCUUGAACAAUUUAUAUUCUCAUAAUCUCAUGAUGAAGUAAUUUAGGUAUAAACCCACUUGUAAAAUCAUAUAAAUCCAUAAUAAAAAUCAAAGCUUUGGGCACAAGAACGAAAGAAUUGCUCUUGUUCAAAACCCCACAUACCUUGGAUUAUGAUUUUAAGAUGAACAAGCUUGAUUAGAAACUCUUCUUCACACUUUUGAGAUAAGUUUCUUGAUGACUUUGACUUGGAGAAUUUGAUUCUUGAAUAACUUGGUGAAAUCUUUGGAAGAUUCUUGAAUUUGUCGGAGAAAUUUGAUUUAGGAUUUUGGAAGCAAACCCUAGUUUCUAAAUUUUUUUCUUGGAAGAGAAUGAGGGGUUUCUCCUCUACUAGGAUAUAUAGAGAGGUUAAAAAGAGGUGGAAAGAACCAAAAUACCUUUGCAAAAAUGUCCCUUAGUUGAUGGAAAGAAUUAGCUGAUGACAUCUAUGAUAAGUCGUCAAGCCGGUGAUACGUCGUCACGAAAUGUCAUCACAAAAGGGUGGAAUUAUGAUUUUCUACCUAAGGUUGAAGACAUUGGUGAUAAGGCAUCACGGGUGUGACGGCUUAUCACAAAAUAUCAUCACAAGGGUCAGAAAUCUGCCCAGGGCUGACGACUUGGUGAUAGGUCGUCACGCUCGUGACAGCUUAUCACGAAUGUCAUCACUCAGUUUCCCAGCCUGACAUAUUGGAGUAAAAUGGGCAUAACUCUUUGUUCCGUCACCGAAUUUGGGUGAAAUUAGUAUCACUGGAAAGCUAAUUUAAUUAUCUAUCUUUUGGUAGGUCAUGAGAUCAAUAAUUCGUAGUAUGAUAAGAGAUAUGCUCAUUUGAAGUUGACCAUGCCAAAAUCCUUCUCAAGAAUUCAAUCGAUAAGGAAUGUUUUUAUUCGCCCAAUCGUUAGGACAACUUUAAGGCCUUAAUACACAUCACCCUUGAACAUAAAACAACCAAAACACUAUAAUUUAUUUCUCAUGAGCCUAAGUCAUGGUUGCACUAUUGGUUAGAAUUUCGGGGUAUUACAAUUUAACAUGAAAAUAAUCAUCAUCUAGUGAACAUAGUCUAACUUUUUAAAAAUCAUUAAAUUUAAAAUUGUUAGAAACAUUAUCUAAUGUGCAUGCCAUAAUUUUAUCAAUAAGUUUAAAAUAUUUCAAGUUUUCCCCUAUUGUACCAGCUAAAUAGCAAUCAGUUUUAGUCUCGUCGACAUAGCAAAAUUUUUUUUUUGCAUGUUUCAAUGGUGAUCAAUUCAAUGAGUUGUGCGAGUAAAAUAAUCAUUACCAUAAAUACUAUGAUCCAUAUCAGAAGUAAUAGAUACUUUAUCAUCAAAUUACUAAGUAAGCAACAAAGAAAAUGACAAUAUUCAGCUAGUUAUUUAAAAAUAUCAUUUUUGAUUGUAUUUCGUGAAAAACCUUUCUAAUGAAUAAAAUAGGGAUGUGAAGGAAAACUAAAAGAUAAACCCAUAACAAAAAUUAUUUUUGCUAAUUCUUCUCUAUCUACAUCUUCACUAUAUGUCGAUGAUGAGCUUGGGCCAAUCAGGUUAUACAUGUUUAAACAAGUCUGAACCAUAUUACCUCCUACAAAUUCUUUCUAUAAUAGUGUAUCAUUUUUUUUGUCUUAGCCUCCUUUUCUAGAUGAAUAAUUCUUACAUAUCCUCAAAUGCGUACUUAGCAAUCUUGUCCCGUCAUUAUUUUUUUUAGUGAAAUAUUUCAUAACUCUCUUGCAUUUAUUGAAAGUAAUAGUAUAUUUUACCUUAUCAUGUUUUAUAAAUUUUCAAACUAAAGACCUUUUAGAAUAUUUGGUACCUUUGACUCUAGUAAAUUUCAAUAAAGGGGAAACUUCUUCACCUUUUUUUGAUAAUUCCGUAACCAGACUAGUAGGGAUAGGGGUUUCACUUAACUCUUUUUCUUCUAUAUCAUCUUCUUCUGAUAAGUCUUCCUCAAAAUUAUCAUAAUGCCUACUUAGGGUCUCAUGGUCUAAUUCCAUACCGGCACAAACAUCGAAAUUAUUAGGCUGUGAUAAAGAAGUUUCAUUAACAUUACUAAAUCUAUGCGGUAAUAAACUAGUAGAAGCACUAUUUUUUUUUACUUCUACGAAAAAUCUCACCAAAGAUUUUUUAACAUUAUUGUUUUUAUUGGCAUCCAUAAUUAAAUUUAAAUAUAGCAAAAAUAUUAAAACAAGCAAUAUAAAUAUUAUUAACCAAAAAUUAAUAAAAGUAAACAAAUACGAUACUAAAAAACAAAAAUAUAGAUAUUAAAGUAAGCAAAAAGAGAAAUUAAAAUUAGAACGAAUAUAACGAACACCUGUGUAAAAGCAGACAUAUACCAAAUAUCAAAAUUAAAAAAUGAAAACCAAAGCUUGUAAUAUCUUCAAAAAAUCUCCAACUCCAACUAGCUAAUACAACAGUCAUAAAUAUUAAGAGAAUACUAUGGAGAUUUUUAGAGUUGAAUAUAUUAGAGAGAGUAUGAGAAUAUUUGUGGGAAAAAAAUAAGUAUAAAAGGAAUAUUUACAGUGAAAAUUUGUUAAUGGGAUAGUGGAGGACUUUGGAAGGAAGGAGUGGGGGCGUGAGGGAGGAUAUUUUGGGAUUCAAAAUACCAACGGCUAUAAACCAACCAUUACAUUAAUUAAAAAAUAAUAAUAAAAUAAAAUUUGAUUAAUUAUCGGACCGACAUCGAACUGGAACUAGGUUAAUCGAAAUCAAAACUAUCAAAAAUAAUCCAGGAUCUGUAUCGAUACCGGCUUCUGGACUAUUGGGAUUGGAAUUACCAGUUUCAACCGGUACCGUAGCGUGACUGGAAUAGUACCGUGACCGAAAUGGACCAUUCCGAUGAAGCUCCGAUUCGUUGACACCCCUACUAAUACCACCAAAUGGGAUGUAUUAGUUAUACACCCUAUGAUACCAUGCAACCCCAAAUUGCUAUCAAAUAAAGUAUUAAAUAAUAUCAUACUUAAUACAUGAAUUAUUUCUCUAAUACACUUUACCAAACAAUUCCUUAAUAUGUGUCAUGAUUCAACAAUGGUCUUCAUGUUAAUCAGACAUUCAGAGGUCAAAACCAAUUGUCAGUUAUAUUCGCAAAUACAUAAAUUGUAAUUCCUUUUCAUGUUAUAAACAAAUCAUCCGAAUAAUCAUUAAAUCGUACUGAAGAAAUUAAAGUUUCUUCAUAUUCAAAGAUCUAAAAUGAGCCACAAAUCACCAAAUCGUGGUGAAGAAAUUGAAGUUUCUUCAUUUUUUGAGAUCAACUGAAAAUCUGAAAUUAAUACACUAAACAAUAAAUUCAAGUGAACGAAAUUAGAAGUACAUGAUUGAACUAGUACUCAGAAACAAUAUACAUUCAUAAUUCAGUUACAAAUGAACCAUAAAACACCAAAUCAUACCAAAGAAAUUAAAGUUUCUUCAUAAUCUGAUAUUAAACAAAAUUAAUACACUAAAAUCAGACACAAAUUAUAUAAUUUGUAAUGAAUUAUUGAGCUCAUACUCAAAAACAACAUACACAUGCAAUUCAAGUACAAUUUUCCACAAAACGAUAAUUCGUAGCGAAGAAAUUGAAGUCUCUUUAUAAUCUGAGAUUGAACAAAGUUAAUACACUAAAAUCAUACGCAAAUUAUAUAAUUUAUAGUGAAUUGUCGAGCUCAUACUCACAAACAACAUGCACAUGCAAUUUAAGUACAAUUCGACAUCAAAUCACAAUUUUGUAUUGAAGAAAUUGAAGUUUUUUCCAUAAGAAAUGGAUGAAUAAAUACAAUAACAUUCACCACAAUUGCAGAUUAAAUUAAUCAAAAUUAUAAUUACCUUAAGAUUUUUGACAAUUUUGCGGUAAUUUUCAGCCGGAUCAAUAAUAGAGAAUGUGACAGAGAAAUUAAAAGGAAGAAAUUAAAGGAGAGAGAUUAUAAGGAGAGUGUUUGAGACGUAUUUGGACAAAAUUUGAUAGAGAAUCCUUUGAUGUAAGGAAAGUAUAGUGGGAUUUUCUAUAAAAGGUAAGAAAAGAUAUGCUACGGGUUAUAAGAGAGAAAGUUAGACCAUAAGUCAUAAUAAAUGUUUCUUAAUAUAUCAUUUAUGUAAAUAGGCCUUAAAUUUUAUUACAGAAAAAUAGCCAUUUUAUUUAUUGCUACUGAGAAUAGCCUUUCGGCCAAGGUUAUUGCUUAAAAUGGCCAGUCGGUCAAAUUAAUUACAAAUAAUAUGAUUGUUCAUUCAUUUUCGAUCUUCUGCUUCUUCUUUCCUCCCCUUUCCUCAUUCCUUCUUCUUCUUCCUUCUUUCCUUCCUCCUCCUCUGGUUUCUUUCAUAUUCGAGCAUUAAGGCUUUUUCAAAAAUUUGACAUACUGCAAACGUAAAUUGUUUCGAGCGAAUUAUAUGUCAAAAGAUUCAAAAUAUCGAGAGAAACCCAUAUCUAAAAUUUAGAACUAUUUAGAGAAAAUUUUGAAUUGGUCAGAAUUGAAAGAACUUGCAAACCAAGUUCUUUAAUGGUCAUACAUACAUGUAUAUGCUGCCUUUUAAGCUCUAUAUGAUGAAAGGUUUGAGUGCAAAUUUGGAGAUAAAAUAUCUAUUACCUGUAAAAUCCUCAAGCAUAAUAAAAUGACCGUGUAGAAACCAUGUGUGCAUCAAUUUGUUUUUCAAGUUGUGCCACCAUAUCUAGAAGCAAGAUCCUUUGACUGUGGACAUGAAGCUAAAUAUAAUACACAUUUGUUAAUUGAUUAUUGUGAAGAUCCAACAUCUUCUUUUUUAAUUUCUAAAUGGAGAACCAGGGUGGAAGAUGACGUAUUUCAUUGGAAUUUAUUUGCAGAGUGAUCUAUAUAAUUUAUAGUAGUAUUUGUUGGUUGUUUAUGCACUAUUAUGUAAUAUCGAUGCAUCAUAUAUGCAUUACAUAACUAUUUAUACAAUAUCUAUACAUUUUUAUACAUAUUUUAUACAAUAUCAAUACCCGUUUGUAUAUCAUUUAUACAAUAUUCAUAUAUUAAAUCACUAUUUGUACAAUAUCGAUACAUGUGUUAUAUUCCACAAUACGGGUACGUAGAAUCUGUAUAAUAGAAUAACAUCUUCAACUCGAGUUCAAGUAUGAACAAGAACACAACAAAGUUGAACAAAUACCCUCAACACAAGAUCAAAAUAAUCUUACAAGAGGUGUAUUUUAUAUUUUAGAAAUAUAGAUGAAAUAGAAAUUGUAAGGUCAAGUCAUCCGCAUUCACGGACUUUUCUUAAGGAAUAAUUCCCCUCACUAUACCCGAGGUUAUGGAAUCUUCCUCCCAGGAUAGAAUGGCCUUCAAUCCGACUAUAGCGGUACCUCAAAAGGCGGAUUCUUCGAACACACUCAUGGAUUGAAUGAUCACACUUAAAGUAUUUUUAAGAAGAAGAAGAAGCUUGUAAUUCUGAAAUUUUUUUCUGUGUCCUAAACCUGUGGAUGAAAUCAGGUUUAUAUAGCCACAAGAUGCCCCUUUGAAAAGGUGGAAAUGGUUCAAUCUUAAAGGUGUGUCUAUUAUGAAAAAUUACAUGGUUGCAGUAUUUCAUUAGGGCUGAGCCAGUGUGCAGUACUUUACUGCAACAGUGCACCUUUUCACGAAACAGUGGCACCAUUUCGAUGAAGUGUUGCAAUAAUUCAUGAAGCAGUGUACCAGUUCACUUGAACCAACACCUGUUCCUGUGUUUCUGCAUGCAUCAAAAAAUGUUUCAGCAUUCCGCGAUAAAACAUCACAAUUGUUCGUUGAAAUAGUGUAAACAGUGGCAUCUGUAUGCAUGUAUGGAGUCGAAAACAUUGUGCAAAAAAAUUCUACUGCAUUUUCCUUUGGCAUUCUUCAAAAUUCAAAUAAAAUUUGUAUAAAAAAUAGAUCUCAUUGAUCGAUCAUUUGACAAAUCCGAAUUCAAAUUUGAAGCCGAAGCCGAAGCCAAGCCGAGCGAGCGAUGACGAAGGUGCGAGGCAUCUCUUAUUUCUUGCCUCACUUGCCAUGUGGAUUAAGUAUUCAUCAUUAUAAAUACUCCAAAGUUCCAUUCUCUCACCAAUGUGGGAGAAUUAGUGAACUUUCUAAUUUGGGAGUACACCUUCUAAAUUGGUGUCCUUCUUUCACCAUUUUUUUCCUCUCUAUUUUUCCAUUCACACCUUUUCAUUACUAUGAACCCAACAGUCCCCCACAUGAAUGAGGAGUGGCUAUUUUUUCAUAAAAGUUUUACAUACAAGUAUGUGAUCAUCAAUUAAAGACUGAUUGCAUCUGAAUAAGUGGGUUUCCCUUUGAACUUUUCGUAGUGAACAUACAUCGGAUGCACUCGGUCAAUCGGUAGAUUUGAUAUCUUUGAACCGUCGAGCUUUAAUGUACACCUAGACAAAACAUGUCACACAACCAGCCUUUUACCAUUUAUGGUUCUUACAAUUUUAUUCUUUUCAACCAUGAACACGUUCCGAUUUUUAUGAGAGCUUAGAGAAUAGGCCUUUUCUAAUAUUCUCUUUGAAGCGGCUUCCACUUCGCCCACAAAUAGGUGAUUUCUAAAUGUUCAAUCCUGUAGAUUAAACUAUUUGGUCAAAUCUGCCAAAUUUAGAUAAUCAUUAAAAGACUUUUCACCUUAAGUCUUAUCCUUGUUUACUAUACAUUUUCUACAUCAUGAGAAUGGGUUGGGUAAUUAACAAUGUUGAACCUGUCAGACACAACUUUGUUUGAUCUCCUUGAACCUAGCUCUUAAGAUCUCCAGUCUGCUAGGUAGAGUUACCACCAUUCUGACUUGUCCUAGGCCUUAAACUCAUUCCCUUGGAUGUUCUUUCCACUUCUUCUCUAGAUAGACCUUUUGUAAGUGGAUCGACACAUUAUCCUUUGACUUUGCAUAGUCUAUAGUGAUAAUUCCACUAGAGAGAAGUUCUCUAACGGUAUUAUAUCUUCAUCUUAUAUGACGAGAUUUACCGUUAUACAUCAUGCUCCUUGCCCUACCUAUUGCUGCUUGGCUAUCACAAUAUAUACAUACUAGUGCCACUAGCUUGGGCCAAUACGGAAUAUCAUCCAAGAAAUUUUGGAGUCAUUCUGCUUCUUCACCGGCUUUAUCUAAUAUGAUAAAUUCAGAUUUCACUAUAGAGCGAGCGAUUCCAAGAAACUGCUCCUCCACCGAUAGUAAAUACAUAUCCACUUGUGGAUUUUACUUCGUUCGAUCCGGUGAUCCAAUUUGUAUCACUAUAUCCUUCAAGUACCGCAGGAUAUUUCUUAUAAUGCACAGCAUAAUUUUGAGUGUAUUUAAGAUACCCCAAAACUCUUUUCAUUGCCAUCUAGUGAGUUUUGUUGGGAUUACUCGUGUACUGACUCAAUUUACUGAUAGCGCAUGCUAUAUCUGAUCGUGUACGAUUCAUUAUAUACAUUAAACAUCCCAAUACUCUCGCAUACUCCAAUUGUGAGUCACUUUCACCUUCAUUCUUUCAAAGUGCAACACUCAUAUCCAAUGGAGUCUUGGCAAUAUCGAAUUCCAUAUACUUGAACUUGUCAAGUACCUUUUCGAUAUAAUGAGACUGUGACAAUGCCAACCCUUGUGGAGUUCGAUGGAUUUUUAUACCUAAGAUAACAUCUGCAACUCCAAGGUCCUUCAUAUCAAACUUGCUCUCGAGCAUUCAUUUUGUUGCAUUUAUGUCAGAAAUGUCUCUACUGAUGAUUAACAUAUCAUCCACAUAUAAACAUACAAUGACUUGGUGAUUUGGAGUGUCUUUAAUAUAAACACAUUUAUCACAUUCAUUUAUUUUGAAUCCGUUUGCCAACAUGGUUUGGUCAAACUUCGCAUNNNNNNNNNNNNNNNNNNNNNNNNNNNNNNNNNNNNNNNNNNNNNNNNNNNNNNNNNNNNNNNNNNNAUAAGUUUACACACCUUGUUUUCCUUUCCUGGAACCACAAAACCCUCAGGUUGUUCCAUGUAAAUUUCUUCCUCCAAAUCUCUAUUUAGGAAUGCGGUUUUUACAUCCAUUUGAUGAAUUUGAAGAUCCAUAUACCUCACCAAGGCAAUUAACAUUCGAAUCGAGGUUAUCCUUGUUACUGAAGAGUAUGUAUCAAAGUAAUCAAGGCCUUCUUUUUGUUUGAAGCCUUUUACUACAAGUCUUACCUUGUAUUUGUCAAUAGUACCAUCCGUCUUCAUUUUCCUUUUUAAGAUCCAUUUAGAACCUAAAGAUUUAUUUCCGGGAGGAAGGUCAACCAAUUCCCAUGUAUGGUUGUUUAAGAUUGAAUCAAUCUCACUAUUGACUGUCUCUUUCCAAAAGGAUGAGUCUGACGAAGACAUCACUUCUUUAAAUGUUUGAGGCUCAUUUUCUAAGAGAAAUGUUACAAAAUCCGACCCAAAUAAAGUUGACGUUCUUCGACGUGUACUACGUCUUGAAUUUUAUUCAUUAUGUACAUUCUCACUUGGUUCAUCUCGAGGUCGUUUAGAUCCCCUCUAGAUUGUUCAUGUCUAAUUUUAUACGGGUAAAUAUUUUCAAAGAAUUCAGCAUUGUCUGCUUCAAUUACCGUAUUUUAACUAAUAUCCGGAUGUUCGGAUUUAUGAACCAAAAAUCGACAUGAUUUACUACUUUUAGCAUAUCCUAUGAAUGCGCAAUCCACCUUUUUAGGUCUUAUCUUAACCCUUUUAGGUAUAGGAACUUGUACCUUUGCUAGAUACCCCACACUUUGAAAUAUUUCAAGUUAGGUUUCCAUCCUUUCUAUUUUUUGUAAGAAAUUGAUUAUGUCUUACUAUGGGGAACUCUGUUGAGUACUGCCGUAAGGAUAGCCCCCCCCUCCCCCCAUAAAUUUUGCGGUAAACCAGAACUUAUAAGUAAGGCAUUCAUCAUUUCCUUCAAAGAUCGGUUUUUCCUUUCCGCAAUUCCAUCAGAUUGAGGUGAAUACGGGGCCGUAGUUUGAUGGAUUAUUCCAUUCUCUACACAUAUUUGCGCAAAGAGAGAUUCAUAUUCUUCCCCCUAAUCACUUUUUAUCAUUUUGAUCUUUUUGUCUAACUGAUUUUCAACUUCAGUUUUAUAUUGCCUAAAUGCAUCUAUUGCUUCAUCCUUACUAUUUAGCAAGUAGACAUAACAAUAUCUAGUGCAAUCGUCAAUAAAAGUUAUGAAAUACUUUUUCCCACCACGAGAGGGUGUUGACUUCAUAUCACAAAUCUCAGCGUUUAUUAAGUCUAAGGGAUUGGAAUUCCUUUCAACGAACUUAUAAGGAUGCUUUGCAUACUUCGAUUCCACACACCUUUGACACUUUGAUUUAUUGCACUCAAUGUUUGGCAAAACUUCUAAGUUAAUCGAUUUUCGUAAUGUUUUGUAAUUAACAUGGCCUAAACGUUCAUGCCAUAAAUCAUAAGACUCAAGCAAAUAAGACGAAUUCGAACUUUUAUUCAUUUCAACAGUCAUUACAUUCAUCUUCUAAAGGCCCUCCGUGAGAUAGCUUUUCCUACAUACAUUUCUCCUUUUCUAACUACAAUUUUCCCAGAAACGGUUACACAUUUGAAUCCGUUCUUAUCUAGGAGUGAAANNNNNNNNNNNNNNNNNNNNNNNNNNNNNNNNNNNNNNNNNNNNNNNNNNNNNNNNNNNNNNNNNNNNNNNNNNNNNNNNNNNNNNNNNNNNNNNNNNNNNNNNNNNNNNNNNNNNNNNNNNNNNNNNNNNNNNNNNNNNNNNNNNNNNNNNNNNNNNNNNNNNNNNNNNNNNNNNNNNNNNNNNNNNNNNNNNNNNNNNNNNNNNNNNNNNNNNNNNNNNNNNNNNNNNNNNNNNNNNNNNNNNNNNNNNNNNNNNNNNNNNNNNNNNNNNNNNNNNNNNNNNNNNNNNNNNNNNNNNNNNNNNNNNNNNNNNNNNNNNNNNNNNNNNNNNNNNNNNNNNNNNNNNNNNNNNNNNNNNNNNNNNNNNNNNNNNNNNNNNNNNNNNNNNNNNNNNNNNNNNNNNNNNNNNNNNNNNNNNNNNNNNNNNNUGAACAUAGCACACAAAUCAUCAUAUUCUUUGUUGGACUCAAUCAUGUUCGCUUGGUCCUUUUUCUUGCCUUUCUUCGGGGCUCGAAAAUCUGUGAACUUGUGGCCAAUUUUGCCACAAUUGAAGCAUUUUCCCUUGAACUUUUUCUUGGGUUGAUUGCCUCCAUGUUCAACUUUCUUUAUUUUUUUCGAGUUGUUUUGGCCAUCUUCUACAAUAUGUGCUCCACUCAUUGUAGAAUUUCCCUUUGACCUUCUUUCGAAAGCUUUAUUGUCCUCUUCAAUACGAAGACGGACGAUAAGAUCUUCAACGAUCAUCUCCUUGCGCUUAUGCUUUAAGUAGUUUUUGAAGUCUUUUCACAAAGAUGGUAGCUUCUCAACUAUUGCUGCUACUUGGAAAGCAUCAUUCACAAUUAAACCUACAAAACAGUUUAUGUGAGUUUUAAGAACAUUUUUAAUUUGUUCAACUACGGUAUUUUUCAAAAAUAUACCUUCUGCUAGGAGAUCAUGUAUGAUGACUUGCAACUCCUGUACUUGAGAGACAACAGAUUUGCUAUCAAUCAUUUUGAAGUCCAGGAACCGUGCAAUAAGAAAUUUCUUAAUUCCCGCAUCUUUCAUUUUAUAUUUCCGUUCAAGUGCCCCUCACAGUUCUUUUGAUGUCUUGGUUCCACUAUAGACAUUAUAGAGGUCGUCUUGGAGACCACUCAGAAUAUAGUUCCUGCAAAGGAAAUCUGAAUGUUUCCAAGCUUCUACAAUAAAGCAGCGGUCUUUGUUCGAGGUUCCCCCGGGAACCUCGGGAGCGUCUUCGCUAGUGAACCGUUGUAGACAUAAAGUGGUGAGGUAAAAGAACAUCUUUUAUUGCCACCGCUUGAAGUCGAUGCCAAAAAAUUUUUUGGGCUUCUCCGUCGAUGCCAUCGUUGGCGGAGCAUUUGUGCCACUUGAUGUGGCAAUAUUAUUUGCCUCCAUAGACGUUGUUGCAUCUAUCAUUUGACUUUCAGUUGUCAUUUUUUCCUUUCACCACAAGACAGAAAACUUAGUAUUUUUCAGAAUACUAUUUAUAAAGUUAAAUAACUUUAAACUCCUUUUCUUGUUUCUAGUUAACGAUAAAGUUUUUAUUACUUCGAAUCAUCAACCGAGUGAACCUUAACUCGUGAUGAAGAUUUUAUGUCUUCUAAUCACUAGUUAAAUUCAAGCGGAGUAGAAAGCCUAAGCUUUAAUCUCCAAAAACAAGCAAUACAGAUUCUGUAAGAUUAUUCCUUAAGAUUGUUAUAUUCCACAAUACGGGUAUGUAGAAUCUGUAUAAUAUAAUAACAACUUCAACUCGAGUUCAAGUAUGAACAAGAACACAACGAAGUUGAACAAAUACCCUCAACACAAGAUCAAAUUGAUCUUUACAAGAGGUGUAUUUUAUAUUUCAGAAAUAUAGAUGAAACAGAAAUUGUUAAGGCCAAGUCGUCCGAAUUCACAGACUUUCCUUAAGGAAUAAUUCCCCUCACUGUACCCGAGGUUAUGGAAUCUUCCUCCUAGGAUAAAAUGGUCUUCAAUCCGACUAUAGCGGUACCUCAAAUAGGCGAAUGCUUCGAACACACUCACGAUUUGAAUGAUCACACUUAGAAUAUUUUUAAGAAGAAGAAGAAGAAGAAGAAGCUUGUAAUUCUGAAAUUUUUUUCUGUGUCCUAAACCUGUGGAUGAAAUCAGGUUUAUAUAGGCUCAAGAUGCCUCUUUGAAAAUGUGGCAAUGGCUCAAUCUUAAAGGUGUGUCUAUUCUGAAAAAUUACAUGGCUGCAGUAUUUCAUUAGUGCUGAACCAGUGUGCAGUCUUUUACUGCAACAGUGCACCUUUUCACGAAACAAUGGCACCAUUUCGAUGGAGUAUUGCAGCAAUUCAUAAAGCAGUGUACCAGUUCACUUGAACCAACAUCUGUAUGCAUGUAUGGAGUCGAAAACAUUGUACAGAAAAAUUCUACUGCAUUUCCCUUGGCAUUCUUCGAAAUUCAAAUAAAAUGUCUAAAAAAUAGAUCUCAUCCAUUAUUUGACAAGUCCAAAUCCGAAUCCGAAACCGAGUGAGCGACGACGACGGCGCGAGGCAUCUCUUAUUUCUUGCCUCACUUGCCAUGUGGAUUAAGUAUUCAUCAUUAUAAAUACUCCAAAGUUCCAUUCUCUCACCAAUGUGGGAGAAUUAGUGAACUUUCCAAUUUGAGAGUACACCUUUUAAAUUAGUGUCUCCUUCUUCCACCAUUUUUUCCUCUCCAUUUUUCCAUUCACACCUUUUCAUUACUAUGAACCCAACAACAUGUUUAUACAUAUUUAUACAAUCUUGAUACAUCACACAUGUACUACAUAACUACUUAUAUCAUGUUGAUACAUUACGUAUAUAAGUUGGAGAAGUUAUAUAUGAAUUUUCAUUGAUGAUUAAUAAAAUUAUUAGUUACCAAAAAAAUAAAAAAUUAGUCAUUUAGCCACGAUUUGUAUACCAUUUAGCCAUGGUUAAACCAUGGAUAAAAGCAUUUAUUUUUUAUUUUUUGAUAAAUAAAACAUGCCUAUACAUUUUUUUUGCAAAUUAAUUAGUUUAUUGUAUAUAAUACUAUCUAUUUGAAAGUAAGGGUGUGCAAAAACCGAACCGAUAAAAAUGUUAUUGGGUUAUUGAGUUAACAGUUUUUUAAUGGUCUUAUAAAAAAAAUUAUUGGGUUAUUGGUUUGGUUCGAUUUUUUCUUGUUGGGUUAUUGGGUAAACCGAUAAUAUAUAUAUAUAAUUUCUCUUUAAUUUUUAUGAAUUAACAAACCUAUUAUUUCAAUUAUACAAACUCUUAAAUUCUACUUAUAGAUUUUUGUAAAUUAAAACAUAUUAUGUAGGAUUUUUUAUUACAACUAAGAUUCAAUGUUUUUUUUUUAUGUUAGUUACUACUAUUUCUAUUUUAUAAGUAUUUUCGUAUCGGUUAAAUCGAAAACCGAAUCAACAAAGACUAAAAAUUGAUAAAAAAAAUAUCUUAUUAAUUUAAUUAUUGAUUUAACAUAUUUAAAAAUAAAAAAUUAAUAAUAUAUAAAAUUGAAUCAAAUGUACCGAUACACUCUAUAUUUGAAAUUAUGGCUUUUAAAACUUUAUUAAUGAGCCGUAGCUAAAACUACUAGGGUUCACGCCGUGUGUGGGAAUGGAACCCAGGACCACAUGGAAGAGCUUUUCUCCACUUUGUUCUUUCCCAU